Molecule: ribosomal RNA, 253 nt
Filed under: uncultured bacterium
Lineage: Bacteria
Description: partial 16S ribosomal RNA
Rfam family: Bacterial small subunit ribosomal RNA
Source: RNAcentral
UACGGAGGGUGCAAACGUUGCUCGGAAUCACUGGGCGUAAAGCGCACGUAGGCGGCCAAGUAAGUUGGGUGUGAAAGCCCUGGGCUCAACCCAGGAAGUGCAUCCAAAACUGCUUGGCUUGAGUACCGGAGGGGUUCAGAGAAUUCCUGGUGUAGAGGUGAAAUUCGUAGAUAUCAGGAGGAAUACCAGUGGCGAAGGCGCUGAACUGGACGGUCACUGACGCUGAGGUGCGAAAGCGUGGGUAGCAAACAGG